Molecule: long non-coding RNA, 132 nt
Organism: Etheostoma cragini (Arkansas darter)
Lineage: Eukaryota; Metazoa; Chordata; Actinopteri; Perciformes; Percidae
Exons: 3
Source: RefSeq, a predicted model, not a curated record
AUGGUGACAGUGGCCGGGUUGGUCAGUUGGUGGAGCAGGCGCACAUGUACAAUGAGGUUUAUGCCUCGCCGCAGACGUCCAGGGUUCGAAUCCGACCUUUGAGGAUUUCCUGCAUCUCCUCCGCUCUCUCUC